This 72-nucleotide transfer RNA is filed under the name Calditrichota bacterium. RNAcentral's name for it is "Calditrichaeota bacterium (marine metagenome) tRNA-Glu". It matches the Rfam family "tRNA". From Rfam's summary of the family: Transfer RNA (tRNA) molecules are approximately 80 nucleotides in length. Their secondary structure includes four short double-helical elements and three loops (D, anti-codon, and T loops). Further hydrogen bonds mediate the characteristic L-shaped molecular structure. tRNAs have two regions of fundamental functional importance: the anti-codon, which is responsible for specific mRNA codon recognition, and the 3' end, to which the tRNAs corresponding amino acid is attached (by aminoacyl-tRNA synthetases). tRNAs cope with the degeneracy of the genetic code in two manners: having more than one tRNA (with a specific anti-codon) for a particular amino acid; and 'wobble' base-pairing, i.e. permitting non-standard base-pairing at the 3rd anti-codon position. Lineage: Bacteria; Pseudomonadati; Calditrichota. The record is from RNAcentral.
GGCCCGUUCGUUCAGCGGUUAGGACACCGGCCUCUCACGCCGGCAACAGGGGUUCGAUUCCCCUACGGGCUA